Molecule: ribosomal RNA, 335 nt
Filed under: Salmonella enterica subsp. enterica serovar Typhimurium
Lineage: Bacteria; Pseudomonadati; Pseudomonadota; Gammaproteobacteria; Enterobacterales; Enterobacteriaceae
Description: partial 23S ribosomal RNA
Rfam family: Bacterial large subunit ribosomal RNA
Source: RNAcentral
CCAAGGGUUCCUGUCCAACGUUAAUCGGGGCAGGGUGAGUCGACCCCUAAGGCGAGGCUGAAAAGCGUAGUCGAUGGGAAACGGGUUAAUAUUCCCGUACUGGUGGUAACUGCGAUGGGGGAACGGAGAAGGCUAGGUUGUCCGGGCGACGGUCGUCCCGGUUCAAGCAUGUAGGCAGAGUGAUUAGGCAAAUCCGGUCACUUAAUGCUGAGGUGUGAUGACGAGCCACUAAGGUGGUGAAGCAAUUGAUGCCCUGCUUCCAGGAAAAGCCUCUAAGCUUCAGGUUACCAACAAUCGUACCCCAAACCGACACAGGUGGUCAGGUAGAGAAUACU